GUGGGGAAUCUUGCGCAAUGGGCGAAAGCCUGACGCAGCCAUGCCGCGUGAAUGAUGAAGGUCUUAGGAUUGUAAAAUUCUUUCACCGGGGACGAUAAUGACGGUACCCGGAGAAGAAGCUCCGGCUAACUUCGUGCCAGCAGCCGCGGUAAUACGAAGGGGGCUAGCGUUGCUCGGAAUUACUGGGCGUAAAGGGCGCGUAGGCGGACAGCGUAGUCAGAGGUGAAAGACCAGGGCUCAACCUUGGAAUUGCCUUUGAUACUGACUGUCUUGAGUUUGGGAGAGGUGAGUGGAACUCCGAGUGUACAGGUGAAAUUCGUAGAUAUUCGGAAGAACACCAGUGGCGAAGGCGACUCACUGGCCCAAUACUGACGCUGAGGCGCGAAAGCGUGGGGAGCAAACAGGAUUAGAUACCCGAGUAGUCC
Molecule: ribosomal RNA, 425 nt
Filed under: uncultured bacterium
Lineage: Bacteria
Description: partial 16S ribosomal RNA
Rfam family: Bacterial small subunit ribosomal RNA
Source: RNAcentral